UACGUAGGGUGCGAGCGUUAAUCGGAAUUACUGGGCGUAAAGCGUGCGCAGGCGGUUCGUCGUGUCCGAUGUGAAAGCCCCGGGCUCAACCUGGGAAUGGCAUUGGAAACUGGCGGACUCGAGUGUGGCAGAGGGGGGUGGAAUUCCACGUGUAGCAGUGAAAUGCGUAGAGAUGUGGAGGAACACCGAUGGCGAAGGCAGCCCCCUGGGCUGACACUGACGCUCAGGCACGAAAGCGUGGGGAGCAAACAGG
This 253-nucleotide ribosomal RNA is filed under the name uncultured bacterium. RNAcentral's name for it is "partial 16S ribosomal RNA". It matches the Rfam family "Bacterial small subunit ribosomal RNA", at positions 524 to 776 of the family's 1533-position model. The record is from RNAcentral.